AACGAACGCUGGCGGCAGGCUUAACACAUGCAAGUCGAACGGGCGUAGCAAUACGUCAGUGGCGGACGGGUGAGUAACACGCGGGAAUAUGCCUUUCGGUUCGGAACAACUCGGGGAAACCCGUGCUAAUUCCGGAUACGCCCUUACGGGAAAGGAUUAUCGCCGAAGAUUAGCCGCGUUGGAUUAGCUAGUUGGUGAGGUAAAGGACUCACCAAGGCGACGAUCCAUAGCUGGUUUGAGAGAACGACCAGCCACACUGGGACUGAGACACGGCCCAGACUCCUACGGGGAGGCAGCAGUGGGGAAUCUUGGACAAUGGGCGCAAGCCUGAUCCAGCCAUGCCGCGUGAGUGAUGAAGGCCUU
This 363-nucleotide ribosomal RNA is filed under the name uncultured bacterium. RNAcentral describes it as "bacterial SSU rRNA". It matches the Rfam family "Bacterial small subunit ribosomal RNA", at positions 29 to 418 of the family's 1533-position model. The record is from RNAcentral.